UACGUAGGGAGCAAGCGUUGUCCGGAAUCAUUGGGCGUAAAGCGCGCGUAGGCGGCCUCAUAAGUCCGUUGUGAAAGUCAAAGGCUCAACCUUUGAAAGCCGAUGGAUACUGUGAGGCUAGAGUCCGGAAGAGGCGAGUGGAAUUCCUGGUGUAGCGGUGGAAUGCGCAGAUAUCAGGAGGAACACCGGUGGCGAAGGCGGGUCUCUGGGCCGUAACUGACGCUGAGGAGCGAAAGCGUGGGGAGCAAACAGG
Molecule: ribosomal RNA, 253 nt
Filed under: uncultured bacterium
Lineage: Bacteria
Description: partial 16S ribosomal RNA
Rfam family: Bacterial small subunit ribosomal RNA
Source: RNAcentral